Molecule: transfer RNA, 72 nt
Filed under: Camelus bactrianus (Bactrian camel)
Lineage: Eukaryota; Metazoa; Chordata; Mammalia; Artiodactyla; Camelidae
Also listed under: 3 other names
Rfam family: tRNA
About the family: Transfer RNA (tRNA) molecules are approximately 80 nucleotides in length. Their secondary structure includes four short double-helical elements and three loops (D, anti-codon, and T loops). Further hydrogen bonds mediate the characteristic L-shaped molecular structure. tRNAs have two regions of fundamental functional importance: the anti-codon, which is responsible for specific mRNA codon recognition, and the 3' end, to which the tRNAs corresponding amino acid is attached (by aminoacyl-tRNA synthetases). tRNAs cope with the degeneracy of the genetic code in two manners: having more than one tRNA (with a specific anti-codon) for a particular amino acid; and 'wobble' base-pairing, i.e. permitting non-standard base-pairing at the 3rd anti-codon position.
Source: Rfam by way of RNAcentral
GGGUAUAUAGCUCAGUGGUAGAAUGAGUGCUUAGCAUACAUGAUAUCCUGGGUUCAAUCCCCAGUACCUCCA